This 281-nucleotide ribosomal RNA is filed under the name Penicillium janthinellum. Its description in RNAcentral is "partial 28S ribosomal RNA". It matches the Rfam family "Eukaryotic large subunit ribosomal RNA", at positions 351 to 650 of the family's 3401-position model. The record is from RNAcentral. Lineage: Eukaryota; Fungi; Ascomycota; Eurotiomycetes; Eurotiales; Aspergillaceae.
GAGUGAUCGAAAGAUGAAAAGCACUUUGAAAAGAGAGUUAAACAGCACGUGAAAUUGUUGAAAGGGAAGCGCUUGCGACCAGACUCGCUCGCGGGGUUCAGCCGGCCUUCGGGCCGGUGUACUUCCCCGCGGGCGGGCCAGCGUCGGUUUGGGCGGCCGGUCAAAGGCCCUCGGAAUGUAACGCCCCCCGGGGCGUCUUAUAGCCGAGGGUGCCAUGCGGCCAGCCCGGACCGAGGAACGCGCUUCGGCUCGGACGCUGGCAUAAUGGUCGUAAGCGACCC